GCACGAUCACCGUUUUAAUAUUUAAGAUUCGUCCACAGAGAUUAAAAUAUUUUUCGCGAUCCUUUAAUUUCUAACCUAGGCGAAUUAGAACAAUUUUGAGUUGUGAAAAGUGAGUAUAUCUAAAAACUAAUUUCAAUCAUUAUAAGCUUUCAUCUAAUUAAUCUUACUUAACCAAAUUAAUUACCAAAAUUAAUCAAAAGAAUUAAUCACUAAGUGACGAGACAAGCUGCCAAACAAAAUAAAUGAACUACGGCUAAUGAAUGACACUGCAGCAAUAAAAAGAGAAUAUGGCCAAGAAAUUAAUCAUAAAACAAAACCAGGCAAAUAGACGUAACAAAGUGAUUCAAAUAUAUAAAAGAAACAAAAACAAAAACAAUUAAAGAAAACAUCGAAAAAAAAAACAACCAGCCUCGACUCAGUAGAGCAAUCAAAGAGGGGGACUCGGUAACUGCAAAUAGAAUAAAAACUCAGCCGGCAUAAUUCGAUAAACUCGGUAGAAAAUGAAAUCGACUCGGAAUGAACUCAGCAGCUACUCUACUCUAUUUAAACUGCAGCAAACCCAGCUCAAACUCGGCAAAUCGACUCAGUGCAGAUUGAAGCAAAAACG
RNAcentral lists this long non-coding RNA (607 nucleotides) under Daucus carota (carrot). RNAcentral describes it as "long non-coding RNA (DCAR_LNC006423)". The record is from RNAcentral. Lineage: Eukaryota; Viridiplantae; Streptophyta; Magnoliopsida; Apiales; Apiaceae.